GUACGGGAGGCAGCAGUCGAGAAUUUUUCACAAUGGGGGAAACCCUGAUGGAGCGACGCCGCGUGGGGGAUGAAUGGCUUCGGCCCGUAAACCCCUGUCAUUCGGGAUCAAUGCCUGUUAUUUAAAAGAUGGCAGGUUGAUAGUACCGGAAGAGGAAGGGACGGCUAACUCUGUGCCAGCAGCCGCGGUAAUACAGAGGUCCCAAGCGUUGUUCGGAUUCACUGGGCGUAAAGGGUGCGUAGGUGGUCGGGUAAGUCUGAUGUGAAAUCUCGGAGCUCAACUCCGAAACGGCAUUGGAUACUAUUCGGCUUGAGGAUUGGAGGGGGGACUGGAAUUCUCGGUGUAGCAGUGAAAUGCGUAGAUAUCGAGAGGAACACCAGUGGCGAAGGCGAGUCCCUGGACAAUUCCUGACACUGAGGCACGAAAGCUAGGGGAGCAAACAGGAUUAGAUACCCCGGUAGG
This 462-nucleotide ribosomal RNA is filed under the name uncultured bacterium. RNAcentral's name for it is "bacterial SSU rRNA". It matches the Rfam family "Bacterial small subunit ribosomal RNA", at positions 339 to 794 of the family's 1533-position model. The record is from RNAcentral.